CCCGCACAAGCGGUGGAGCAUGUGGUUCAAUUCGACGCAACGCGAAGAACCUUACCUGGGCUUGAACCGCAGUGGACAGGAGUGGAAACACUCCCUCCCUUCGGGGCCGCUGUAGAGGUGCUGCAUGGCUGUCGUCAGCUCGUGUCGUGAGAUGUCGGGUUAAGUCCCUCAACGAGCGCAACCCCUGCCGCUAGUUGCCAUCGGUUCGGCCGGGCACUCUAGCGGGACUGCCGGCGUCAAGCCGGAGGAAGGUGGGGAUGACGUCAAGUCCUCAUGGCCCUUAUAGGUGGGGCUACACACGUCAUACAAUGGCCGGUACAGAGGGUAGCCAACCCGCGAGGGGGAGCCAAUCCCACAAAGCCGGUCGUAGUCCGGAUCGCAGUCUGCAACUCGACUGCGUGAAGUCGGAAUCGCUAGUAAUCGCAGAUCAGCAUGUCGCGGUGAAUACGUUCCCGGGUCUU
RNAcentral lists this ribosomal RNA (461 nucleotides) under uncultured Allobrachymonas sp. RNAcentral's name for it is "bacterial SSU rRNA". It matches the Rfam family "Bacterial small subunit ribosomal RNA", at positions 920 to 1382 of the family's 1533-position model. Lineage: Bacteria; Pseudomonadati; Pseudomonadota; Betaproteobacteria; Burkholderiales; Comamonadaceae. The record is from RNAcentral.